ACAGUGCAGCGGUGGGCUGAAGGGCUCCUCAAGUGCCGCCAAAGUGGGAGCCCAGGCAGAGGAGGAGCCAAGAGCAAGCGAAGGCUGUGAGGACUGCCAGCACGCUGUCACCUCUCAAUGGGAUGGUUAUCCCUGAACUUCAUGGUACCUGAGGGAAAUGAGAACUUGUGUCUGGUUUCAACCAGUGUUUUUCGGGUUUCUGCUAGCUGCGGCUGAACACAGCCCCUAACUGAUUCAGCAUGUUAACUGCUACUGUUGUCAUUGUUGCUAUUGGUUUUAUUAUCAAGAAAGAGGUGCCCCAGGCCAGGGUUGUUUUGACAAUGUCAGAAACACUUAGAGGACCUGAGAUGUGAAAUGAGUUGUCCACAGGCAUAAUUCAUUUGAAGCUGGAGGAUCUGCAGAAACAGCCCUGCCUGUCCCGGUGCCACAGAUGCCAUCAUAAAAAAUGGAGACAUCAUGGUGGGUCCCCUGAGGCAGCCAUUUUGAUUGACGCGCUUUCUCCUCAGACAGUGCAAGUGUGAAGAGUUUUUUCUCUGCACCUCAGGGUAGACAAUGGACUGGACUGGGAGGCAUGUGGCUCCUCCCUGCUAGAUUUAAAGAGAAGCUGAAGGUUUCUCUAACCGCAUUUCUCCGGUUCUGAUGAAGAGCUCACCAGCAUAGACUAGCUGACAUCACCGGGCUCCUGUGUUGCCUGUCUGGUUAAGAAGUUCUUCCCUCAUCUUCCAAGUUAUAUAGGGAAGGAAUGAAGAUUGAAAGUCAUAAUCUAAUCUGCCAAGCAUAUGUGGGCACCAACUGUGUUUCUAAGGAAUCUACACAAAGGUAUCAGCUCAGAAGCCCCAGAGCAGAAAUGACGUUAGAUUUAUGUAUCUUUCUGUGGAUUGAUUCAACAUGAGAAUGGAUUCAAAAAUACACAUUCCUUCACAGUGCCUGGUUUUAACAUCAUAUCAAGGAAAGGGACACUGAAGAAGGUACCACAAGAAGAUGACCAUCUGCAAACCAGGAAGCAGGCCUUCACUAGACACUGGAUCUUGGACUUCCCAGCCUCCAGAACUGUGAGAAAUAAAUCUCUGUUGUUUAAGCAACUAGCAUAUGGUAAUUUGUUAUGGCAG
This is a long non-coding RNA of Symphalangus syndactylus (siamang), 1109 nucleotides long. RefSeq lists it as uncharacterized. The record is from RefSeq and is a predicted model, not a curated record. NCBI's taxonomy places the organism in Eukaryota, Metazoa, Chordata, Mammalia, Primates, Hylobatidae.